Molecule: ribosomal RNA, 253 nt
Filed under: uncultured bacterium
Lineage: Bacteria
Description: partial 16S ribosomal RNA
Rfam family: Bacterial small subunit ribosomal RNA
Source: RNAcentral
UACGAAGGGGGCUAGCGUUGCUCGGAAUCACUGGGCGUAAAGCGGACGUAGGCGGCUUCUUAAGUCAGGGGGGAAAUCCUGGAGCUCAACUCCAGAACUGUCUUUGAUACUGGGGAGCUCGAGUCCGGGAGAGGUGAGUGGAACUGCGAGUGUAGAGGUGAAAUUCGUAGAUAUUCGCAAGAACACCAGUGGCGAAGGCGGCUCACUGGCCCGGUACUGACGCUGAGGUGCGAAAGCGUGGGGAGCAAACAGG